UAGAUUAAGAUAAUCUCAAAUAAUAAUAAUUUUAAAAAUUAGACUAGGUUACAGAUAAUCCAAAACGAAUGUGUUAUUGUUCUCCCUGGUUAGGAAACAACCUUGAAAAAGGAAGAAACUGAGUUUAUACUUACCUAUGACAUAUCAAUUUAAUGGAACAAGUGAGAGUCAAUGAUUAAUCUGGUUUUUCAAUUAAGCUUUAUUUACCUUCAAAAUAUUAGUUGUAUAUUUGAACCUUUUAAGUCAAACAAUUUUCUUAUAAGUUGUUUCAUCCCUUCUCUAAACCACUCUGCCCCAAAAAGUAUGCUUGUUAAAUGUUGGAAUACCAGAAGGUGAACUAGAUAUGACUUAACAACUCAAACCAUCAGUUUGGGCCUAUUUCUGUUAUCACACGAUUUAAAGCUUUUUCUUCAUGGGCCUCAGGCAAUAACCUUCAUCCUGGAGGAUUUCCCUUGAUCUGCAGCAUCCUGUUAGAAGCAAUCCCUGGGUAUAAAUUUUAAACAUCUAUUAACGCUCUCGUUUUGGUUUGUUUCUUUUGUGCCAAGAUAAAUAAACUUUCUCUUUCUCUCUAAUAUUAGUAUUUGAUCAUUGUUCAAGACAGUUAGUUAUUCAUGGUACAAUUAAAAUAGCAAAGAUUUUGGCUUAGUGGGAUCUGAACUCUGCCACUUACUGAUUGUGUGGGAAAAUUCACUUAACCUCACUGUGCCUAAAUUUCCUCAUCCGUAAAAGGAACAGGUACUUGUCAUGGUCUGAACAUCUAUGAAAAUGGGGAGGGGGAUUUCAUGGGCUUUUAGAUGGGCAAUUUCACCUAGAAAGGAAUGUGGAUGAGAUCAGCAAUUAUAAAUGUCACUAAAUAGCUAGGGAUUAGAAAUUAUUUCCUGAGGAAGAUCCGAAGACUUAAAAUUUAGUUUGGCUGACUAUAAAAAGAGAAAAAAGGAAGAGAAAGCAACUUUUCAAGUAUCUAUAUGCCCAACAUAUGCUAGGUUACAUUUACACAUUUUCACCUUGUUUAAUCCUUACAAUCAUCCUACAAGGUAGUUAUUAGUUUGCUGCAUUUUCAGUUAAUCCAUAGACUUGCCAGAGAGUUAUGUCAUGGCCUAGGCCCCUAAGCCCCAAAGAUGAGCUGGACACAACAGAUCCUUGCUGUGGGAGUCAGAAGAGAGAGAGAGAGACAGAGACAGACAGAGAGAGAGAGAGAGGGAGGGAGAGAGAGAGAGCGCGAGAGCGUGAGAGAGAGCCAACUUAGCAAAAGGAGCAGAACUGGAGAGGACCUGAAGAGGAUGUGAUGGCACUUCAGAGUUACAAGGAUGUGGACACUCUUGAUGCAGGAAGAUUGGUUAGUCAAGCAAGAGGAAGAGAAUAAAUCCUAGAGAGAAACUUGGGAGGAAGGGAGGGAGAGGGAGAGAGAAGGGAGAUAUAGAGCUAGUGGGAGAGAGAGAGAUUGAGAGAGAGAGGAGAGAGGCCAUAUGGCUCAUGAGAUGCUUGGGGAAAGAGAGUAUUGCGUUUCCACGGCUGACUGAGGUCCUGUUAAUUCUGCAUUUCUGAGUUAAGUGUGUCCCCACCAGGCAUGUGCUGAUUCAAAGAUGAGAUAAUGGGAGGCUGAGACAGGCAACAGUGAACUAUGAUGAUGCCACUGCACUGUAGCCUGGAUGACAAAGCAAGAUCUGGUUUCUAAAAAUAAAAAUAAAAAUAAAAAUAAAAA
RNAcentral lists this long non-coding RNA (1702 nucleotides) under Macaca fascicularis (crab-eating macaque). RNAcentral describes it as "lncRNA (ENSMFAG00000056847.1)". Lineage: Eukaryota; Metazoa; Chordata; Mammalia; Primates; Cercopithecidae. The record is from RNAcentral.